AACCCCUCAAGCAUCGCUUGAUGUUGGGCGCUUGUCCCCGCCCCCGCGCGCGGACUCGCCUCGAAGACAUUGGCGGCCUGUGUAUUGGCUACGAGCGCAGCAGACCCGCGCCUCGUCCCCUCUCCGCGCAGGCGCCCACGAAGCGCAACCCCCCAA
This 156-nucleotide unclassified non-coding RNA is filed under the name uncultured Lophiostoma. RNAcentral's name for it is "sequence contains ITS2". Lineage: Eukaryota; Fungi; Ascomycota; Dothideomycetes; Pleosporales; Lophiostomataceae. The record is from RNAcentral.